UACGUAGGGUGCAAGCGUUAAUCGGAAUUACUGGGCGUAAAGCGUGCGCAGGCGGCUUUGCAAGACAGAUGUGAAAUCCCCGGGCUCAACCUGGGAACUGCAUUCCAAACUGCCGAGCUAGAGUGUGGUAGAGGGAGGUAGAAUUUCCUGUGUAGCGGUGAAAUGCGUAGAUAUAGGAAGGAAUACCAGUGGCGAAGGCGGCCUCCUGGAUCAACACUGACGCUGAGGUGCGAAAGCGUGGGGAGCAAACAGG
This 253-nucleotide ribosomal RNA is filed under the name uncultured bacterium. Its description in RNAcentral is "partial 16S ribosomal RNA". It matches the Rfam family "Bacterial small subunit ribosomal RNA", at positions 524 to 776 of the family's 1533-position model. The record is from RNAcentral.